Molecule: long non-coding RNA, 232 nt
Filed under: Solanum tuberosum (potato)
Lineage: Eukaryota; Viridiplantae; Streptophyta; Magnoliopsida; Solanales; Solanaceae
Description: long non-coding RNA (STUB_LNC010690)
Source: RNAcentral
GUUGUUUGUACUGAUAUUACUCUUGUUAUGUCAUUUGGCAUAGUGUAGUUGCAGGAUUCAGUAAUGUUUCAUAGGAGAAGAGGAUCACGAUCGUUGACAACUUCUACUCCUCUUUCCUUGUGGUGGGAGCUGUGUUGUAUUUUUUUCAUAAUUUUGUACUCUCUUAGAAGCUCCUUUAACUAUUUUGACUAGUUCCUUGAGGAGAGUUCAAUGUAAUUCUUACUAAGUGUAC